UUUAAGCAUAUUCACUCAGUGGAGGAAGCUCAAGCAACCGCGAUUGCUACAGUAAUGGCGAAUGAACUGGCAAUACACUUGGCUCAGCCUGAGAUGGUUCCUACCCGCCACUGCUUCGGCAGACUGUGCGGUCGGCUACUGUGGGCUCUAUCAAUGCUGUGGGUGUUGGAGUGGACGGCUUGCCCUGAUCGGUCGCGGUGCCAGGAAGAUGCCCUGGAAGGGAUCACAACAGAAGGAUACUGUCCUGUACACUGAGAGUGUGCCGUGGCCAUCAGGGUGAUGCUGUCUGCAUCCACGAGUAGAGCUGCUUGGGACUGCAGUUUGAAGUGUGGGGUGUAUCCCCCACAAGGAGCAAUACCACCAUGGGACCGAUAGUGCACAAGUAGAGUGAUUGAAGGAUGCAAAGGACUUUGCAAAGAGGGUUAAAAGUCCCUGAAGCCUUGACAGGAACGGUGGAGUGUGGUGCUGUGGAUCUGACCAACCGCCCUUGGGCCAGCCCCAGUGCUGGCUACUGAGCCUAUCACCGAAGUGGUGGAUGCAAUCGUGGCAGCAUGGGGUGACACAAAGCCUGUCAGGGCCUGAGGGUAUCUCGUCUUGAGCAAGGGUGAAGCAAAGCAGACAGCAGACCUGAGGCAAGCAGGCGUGAACCAGCCAUCGGCAGUCGGCAACCAUCGUGUCUGGCGGGAGCAUGUGUCACACCACCGCCAACGGCUACUGGAUGUAUGGACCACUACACACUGGAAGACUUGUCGUGCGUGCAGCAGAGUAUGGCUCCUCACAGGAGAGUGCAAUGCCAACACCGAGCACAAGACUCGUGGUAUGUGCCGUCACGUCCCAGUACACAAAGCAUGGCCGACGGUGGAGGUGAGUGAUGCACCCAGCUGGCAUGGACUGGUUUGGCUCGGGGAAUACUGCGCAGCCAAGGCGCUGGAGCUACUGCAACGUGGACAACUGCUGGAACAAACCUGGUGUGUCUUCGGGCGUGCCAGUCACUGCUGCCUAGCCUUGGUCGGGGCUGGUGAGUGUGUGGGAGCUGCACCACUUUGCUGGUGGCUGCUGCACGCUGUUGCCGGUCCCCCAGACAGUGCACAGUGCAGACAUGGCAGUUGAGGUUGGUGCAUGCAGUGCCACUCUCUGCCCGUCUUGAAACACGGACCAAGGAGUCUAUGGAGCUUGCCGGUUUGCAGGUGUUACAUCAAUGAAGCCCACAGGGCACGGUGAAAGCAAAGUCUCUUCCAGAUGGUGUAUGCUGCAUGGAACACCAGUCCCUGUGUCCAGUGGACGGGGUUUUGAGUGCUUGCAAGGUCCAUGGGACCCGAAAGGUGGUGAACUAUACCAUUCCAUGACGAAGCCAUGGGAAACUGUGGUGGAGGUCAGUCGCUGUUCUGACGUGCAAAUUGUGUAGCCUGAGUGUGGCAUAGGGGUGAAAGGCCAAUCGAACCACCUAGUAGCUGGUUUCCCUCGAAGUUUCCCUCAGGAUAGCUGGGCUCGAGUGCAAAGCCUUGACUGAGUGGUUACGUCCGGUAAAGCAACGCACGAGAGGCAACUGCGGGGAGGCUUCCCUCCUCGACCUAUUCUCGAACUGUGAAUGGGCGUGGCAAACCCAUGAGGCAUGCUUCUUCACCAGUGCCUGAGUCAGGGUAACACCUGUCCUCCCAAGGCUUUCUGAGCAUGUUUGGAAUGGCUUACUGCUGCUGUCACGGAAGGCCACGCAAUGGUGUGCUCUGUGUUGUGCUGUCUCGGGAGACCACUGGACUCGCCCAGGUCCACUCCUCGUGGUUAUGGAGAUGUCAAGACCGGCUGGCAGUACCGACAACCACGCACAAGCCCCGCUGUGCUGCGCUGACCGUAUUGUGUGGUGCCUAUUGCCUGAAUGGGCCGAUGUGUGCAAGCACAAAGCAACCUAUCAGCGGCUGACGAGCUGUCAUGGUGAACAAGUGUGCCUAUGUGGACCAGAAUUGGUAAGCAGUGCUGGUGAUGCGGGGUGCUCCGAGAGUGGACUUACAGAUCCAGAGUGCUGGCUCAUACUCAGAUCCCACAAAGGAUGUUGCCUGCUUUGGAUAGCAGGUCGGUGGCCAUGAAGGUUGGAACCCGCUAAGGAAUGUGUAACAACUCACCUGCCGAAGUGUGCAGCUCCAAAAAUGGAUGGUGCCCAAGUCAGUGAAGCUGAAUUUGCCUUACAGUCUGCCGCCACUGUGGCAUGUCGCAGAGCAGAGCAUUGUUGUGUAGAAUGGACACUGGGGACUGCAGAGCUGGUGGGGAUUGAUUCCCACAGGAGUGUCUCCUGGAGCAGAUCUUGGUUGUAGUAGCGAGUACUCCAUCAGGCAAAGAGUGGGAGCAAACCCCACUGUGUGUGGUUGAGGACUGGAGUGGAGCAGGUUUCCCCACCAAACAGCCGUUGAAUGGGGGUCAGCCGAUCGUGAGCCAAGUGGCAAGUGCACUGUACAACCAAAGCUGUCAUUCCCUCUGGGUGGACGCUGUCUGUGACCAACAGACCAGUGAAUGUGGGAGCAUACUGUGCUGUGAGCUGACACACAGCGGGUGCUGCAAUGCCACCGUGUACAAGGCCCGCCGGCUUGUCCAACCAACAAACCCCUGGGACCGUGCACCCCGACCGUGGGCAGACACUCUGUUGUGACGGUGAAAGGAAGCAGUCACUCACUCGGGACACAGUACCACAACCCGCUCCAGAGUGGUUCGUGACAGGAUUGGCAAACAGGCAAGCAUGAGCAACAUUCUGCUGUGGUGGGCUUGGAAUACUCAAGAGUGGUGACGCUAUGUGACUGGAGCAAGCAGGCUUUGGGGCAGUGCACCCCCCAGGGAGUUCUCGUUUCCUCCUGAUGCAGGCUCAUGUGGGCUAUCGAUUGGCAUGCCAGAUGGUGGUGUAAGCCCCCCGCCCAGCAAGGCAGUGUGCCCUUGACACUGGUGGUGUGUGGUGGCUGUGCUCGAGAUGCAGCAGCAGACGAAGUCAUCAGCGAUGUGUGAUCUGUCUACUAAAACCUUUGGUGGUCACUGGCUCCACUGAACAGCCUGUGGGACAUGAUGUCAUUCUUGGUCCCUGGCCCUCGUGCGAAUCACCGCAGCCGGUCUCCAUGGGCACGACGCCGCUGGUCUACAGAUUGAAUGCAGCUAAGGGAAGUCGGCAAACUAGCUGUGUACCUUUGGAAGAUGCAGUGGCUCCAGAGGUCAAGUCACUGGGCCCUGCCACAGGCAGUUGUCUCACAGAGGAGGCCACCUCGUAGUGGUCCUAUACCAUUGUGCUGGAAGGCCACCACUGGCGUGCACUGUUGUCAACAAGCAAAGCAGGCAAACAACCAAAGCGAAGCUCGAACACAAUCUGUGGCCGGGGGUGCGGGGAGCCCUCGGGCCACCUGUGCCCACCCUGGUGGCUACGUAGUGACCCACAUGGAACUGUUGCUGUGCAGGGGAAUCUGACUGUUUAAUUGAAACCCAGCUUUGUGAGGGGAUCAGCUGGCUGGUCCCAUGAGGUGACUUCUGCCCAGUGCUCUGAUUGUCAAUGCGAAGAGAUUCAGCCAAGCGCGGGUAAACGGCGGGAGUAACUAUGACUCUCUUAAGGUAGCCAAAUGCCUCGUCAACCAAUUAUUGACGCGCAUGAAUGGAUCAAUGAGAUUCCUGCUGUCCCUAGCUGCUGUCUGGUGAACCAACAGCCAAGGGAACGGGCUUGGAUGUGUCAGCGGGGAAAGAAGAGCCUGUUGAGA
This 3719-nucleotide ribosomal RNA is filed under the name Phacus platyaulax. Its description in RNAcentral is "partial 28S large subunit ribosomal RNA". It matches the Rfam family "Eukaryotic large subunit ribosomal RNA", at positions 33 to 2421 of the family's 3401-position model. The record is from RNAcentral. Lineage: Eukaryota; Euglenozoa; Euglenophyceae; Euglenales; Phacaceae.